CCUACGGGGUGCAGCAGUGGGGAAUUUUGGACAAUGGGCGCAAGCCUGAUCCAGCUAUUCCGCGUGUGGGAAGACGGCCUUCGGGUUGUAAACCACUUUUGUAGAGAACGAAAAGUCUAUUGAUAAUACCGAUAGAUGAUGACGGUACUCUAAGAAUAAGCACCGGCUAACUACGUGCCAGCAGCCGCGGUAAUACGUAGGGUGCGAGCGUUAAUCGGAAUUACUGGGCGUAAAGGGUGUGCAGGCGGUUUUGCAAGAUGGAUGUGAAAGCCCCGGGCUUAACCUGGGAAAGCCAUACAUGACUACAAGACUAGAGUGCGUCAGAGGGGGGUGGAAUUCCAAGUGUAGCAGUGAAAUGCGUAGAUAUUUGGAAGAACACCGAUGGCGAAGGCAGCCCCCUGGGACGCAACUGACGCUCAUACACGAAAGCGUGGGGAGCAAACAGGAUUAGAUACCCCGGUAGUC
Molecule: ribosomal RNA, 465 nt
Filed under: uncultured bacterium
Lineage: Bacteria
Description: partial 16S ribosomal RNA
Rfam family: Bacterial small subunit ribosomal RNA
Source: RNAcentral